Eptesicus fuscus (big brown bat) is the source of this 100-nucleotide long non-coding RNA. RefSeq lists it as uncharacterized. Lineage: Eukaryota; Metazoa; Chordata; Mammalia; Chiroptera; Vespertilionidae. The record is from RefSeq and is a predicted model, not a curated record. The transcript has 3 exons.
UGAUGUCUCAAAUUCCUCUCCUCAGAACUGUUGACCACAGAGGAAGGGAGAACAUUUUAUUUACAGUCAUUGCCCAGUUUGUCCCAGAUCCCGAAAACAG